UGGGGAAUAUUGCACAAUGGGCGCAAGCCUGAUGCAGCAACGCCGCGUGAGGGAUGACGGCCUUCGGGUUGUAAACCUCUUUUAGCAGGGAAGAAGCGAAAGUGACGGUACCUGCAGAAAAAAGCACCGGCUAACUACGUGCCAGCAGCCGCGGUAAUACGUAGGGUGCAAGCGUUGUCCGGAAUUAUUGGGCGUAAAGAGCUCGUAGGCGGUCUGUCGCGUCUGCUGUGAAAUCCCGAGGCUCAACCUCGGGCCUGCAGUGGGUACGGGCAGACUAGAGUGCGGUAGGGGAGAAUGGAACUCCUGGUGUAGCGGUGGAAUGCGCAGAUAUCAGGAAGAACACCGAUGGCGAAGGCAGUUCUCUGGGCCGUAACUGACGCUGAGGAGCGAAAGCGUGGGGAGCGAACAGGAUUAGAUACCCUGGUAGUCCACGCCGUAAACGUUGGGCGCUAGAUGUGGGGACCAUUCCACGGUUUCCGUGUCGCAGCUAACGCAUUAAGCGCCCCGCCUGGGGAGUACGGCCGCAAGGCUAAAACUU
This 538-nucleotide ribosomal RNA is filed under the name uncultured bacterium. Its description in RNAcentral is "partial 16S ribosomal RNA". It matches the Rfam family "Bacterial small subunit ribosomal RNA", at positions 355 to 902 of the family's 1533-position model. The record is from RNAcentral.